UUGAACGCUGGCGGCAUGCUUUACCCAUGCCCGUCGCACGGUAACAGGCCUUCGGGUGCUGACGAGUGGCGAACGGGUGAGUAAUGCAUCGGAACGUACCCAGAGGUGGGGGAUAACGCAGCGAAAGCUGUGCUAAUACCGCAUGUGAUCUGAGGAUGAAAGCGGGGGACCGAGCAGCAAUGUUUGGCCUCGCGCCUUUGGAGCGGCCGAUGUCGGAUUAGCUAGUUGGUGGGGUAAAGGCCUACCAAGGCGACGAUCCGUAGCUGGUCUGAGAGGACGACCAGCCACACUGGGACUGAGACACGGCCCAGACUCCUACGGGAGGCAGCAGUGGGGAAUUUUGGACAAUGGGCGCAAGCCUGAUCCAGCAAUGCCGCGUGCGGGAAGAAGGCCUUCGGGUUGUAAACCGCUUUUGGCAGGAACGAAACGGUGUCCGCUAAUACCGGGCGCUAAUGACGGUACCUGCAGAAUAAGCACCGGCUAACUACGUG
Molecule: ribosomal RNA, 491 nt
Filed under: uncultured bacterium
Lineage: Bacteria
Description: partial 16S ribosomal RNA
Rfam family: Bacterial small subunit ribosomal RNA
Source: RNAcentral